Molecule: RNase MRP RNA, 283 nt
Filed under: Harpegnathos saltator (Jerdon's jumping ant)
Lineage: Eukaryota; Metazoa; Arthropoda; Insecta; Hymenoptera; Formicidae
Description: RNase MRP
Rfam family: RNase MRP
About the family: RNase MRP is an enzymatically active ribonucleoprotein with two distinct roles in eukaryotes. In mitochondria it plays a direct role in the initiation of mitochondrial DNA replication.
Source: Rfam by way of RNAcentral
AAGUUCCCUCGGGUGACACUACGGAGCUCCAAACAGGGUCUUUGAUGACUCCUUUACAACACAUGCUCUGAGGAAGGUCCCUGGACCCGUGGCAGAAAGUGCCGUAGACAUAAUUGCUAUUAGCCUCGUGCCGUUCGCGAACAGGAAAGGAAGCCCCUCGGCUGAUCUUUUCGUGAUGGGUGCGAGAGUAUUGGUCAAAGUAAAGUUAUGUGUAGAGCGACGCUUCCGCUUGAAGGUUGAGAGGUUGCGUUGAACUGAACAGGGCCUACCGAACGAGGAAACU